Long non-coding RNA from Papaver somniferum (opium poppy), 1022 nucleotides. RefSeq lists it as uncharacterized. The transcript is spliced from 2 exons. The record is from RefSeq and is a predicted model, not a curated record. NCBI's taxonomy places the organism in Eukaryota, Viridiplantae, Streptophyta, Magnoliopsida, Ranunculales, Papaveraceae.
GUGACCUUGGGUUUUUAUGACUAGUUUUGUAUUUCAAUAGUACCACUAAGAGAUCGUUUUUUCUUUGGGUCUUUCUCAGCAAAAUCCAAUUCAACUUUAUCACCACCACCCGUUCUUGCUGCUGUGAGAGAAAUACAGACGAAACUCUAAUUUCUUCUCACAUUUUCAUGUCCAUCUUGCCCAUACAAUCUAAUAGUUUUGUAUCAUCAUCAUCUGAUAACCUUCGCAGAAACCCUAAUUACCCAAACCAUGUAUGGUCUCUUUCACUCAUCACCACAAGAACAAUUUCAUGGGGGUUUAUCUCCAAUCACUCAAUUUCUGGUAAGAAAUCUUCCGAGUUAUUGAUUAGGAGAAGAUUUGUCUAAUAGUCUAUGUAGAUUGAAGAUUUGUCUAUUAGUCUCUGCAUACGAAAAAGGAGAAGAUUUGGGUUUCUUUUUAAUAGGUUCUUCCCUUGUUUUGGGUAGUUGAAGUAGUAUUAUUGAAAGUUUAAUAGUCUAUGUAGAUUGAAGAACAGCGAUUGCUGCUGGUGCUUUGAGAGGUCGAUGGAUGAAAUUGGCUUUGUUGGAAGAAGGGUCUGAUGGUGAAGAACAGUCUGGGAAGAACAAGAAUCUGUCGAUGGGUUUUAUGCAGAAGACAAUUUUGAGAAGUGAUGCAGAAGUGUUGAAUUCGCUCAAUUUGUUACGGAUUUGAUUUGGGGAUCUGAGGUUGUUAAUUUGAGCAUCAAAUCUCAUUUUUAGGGUAAGAAAUUUGUGGGUUUAUAGAUCUGAGGUUGUUUGAAUUUGAGUUGAAAUUCAAAUAUAGAUUUGUAAUUGGGUAUUGCAAUGGAUGAAUUCCUUGAGUUGUCCAAAAUGCUAUAUUGAUUGAGGAUGAAAAACAAUUGACUCCACCAUCGUCAACUGAGUAAAAAAUGUUGUUGAUGAUAAAAUCUUGUUUUGACGGUGGUUCCGGAAAUGGGUAUGGAGGUGGGGGAAGAGGUUAUAAUAGUAUAUUCAUCUUUUAAUUUCAUUUUAUUUUACUUUUAA